This 440-nucleotide ribosomal RNA is filed under the name uncultured bacterium. RNAcentral describes it as "partial 16S ribosomal RNA". It matches the Rfam family "Bacterial small subunit ribosomal RNA", at positions 338 to 795 of the family's 1533-position model. The record is from RNAcentral.
CCUACGGGAGGCUGCAGUGGGGGAUAUUGCACAAUGGGGGGAACCCUGAUGCAGCGACGCCGCGUGGGUGAAGAAGCGCCUCGGCGCGUAAAGCCCUGUCAGCAGGGAAGAAAAUGACGGUACCUGAAGAAGAAGCCCCGGCUAACUACGUGCCAGCAGCCGCGGUAAUACGUAGGGGGCAAGCGUUAUCCGGAUUUACUGGGUGGAAAGGGGGCGCAGACGGCGAUGCAAGCCAGGAGUGAAAGCCCGGGGCCCAACCCCGGGACUGCUCUUGGAACUGCGUGGCUGGAGUGCAGGAGGGGCAGGCGGAAUUCCUGGUGUAGCGGUGAAAUGCGUAGAUAUCAGGAGGAACACCGGUGGCGAAGGCGGCCUGCUGGACCGCAACUGACGUUGAGGCCCGAAAGCGUGGGGAGCAAACAGGAUUAGAUACCCCUGUAGUC